UUCCAAAGGGCAUGCCUGUUCGAGCGUCAUUUGUACCCUCAAGCUUUGCUUGGUGUUGGGCGUCUUGUCUUUUGGCUUCCAGCCCAAAGACUCGCCUUAAAACGAUUGGCAGCCGGCCUACUGGUUUCGCAGCGCAGCACAUUUUUGCGCUUGCAAUCAGCAAAAGAGGACGGCACUCCAUCAAGACUCCUUCUCACGUUUGACCUCGGAUCAG
This 214-nucleotide unclassified non-coding RNA is filed under the name Curvularia lunata. RNAcentral describes it as "partial contains 5.8S rRNA, ITS2 and 28S rRNA". The record is from RNAcentral. Lineage: Eukaryota; Fungi; Ascomycota; Dothideomycetes; Pleosporales; Pleosporaceae.